Molecule: unclassified non-coding RNA, 351 nt
Filed under: soil metagenome
Description: partial contains 5.8S ribosomal RNA, internal transcribed spacer 2, and large subunit ribosomal RNA
Rfam family: 5.8S ribosomal RNA (bases 1-120)
Source: RNAcentral
GAUGAAGAACUCAGCGAAAUGCGAUAAGUAAUGUGAAUUGCAGAAUUCAGUGAAUCAUCGAAUCUUUGAACGCACAUUGCGCCCGCCAGUAUUCUGGCGGGCAUGCCUGUUCGAGCGUCAUUACAACCCUCAGGCCCCCGGGCCUGGCGUUGGGGAUCGGCGGAGCCCCCCGUGGGCACACGCCGUCCCCCAAAUGCAGUGGCGGUCCCGCCGCAGCUUCCAUCGCGUAGUAGCUAACACCUCGCGACUGGAGAGCGGCGCGGCCACGCCGUAAAACACCCAACUCUUCUGAAGUUGACCUCGAAUCAGGUAGGAAUACCCGCUGAACUUAAGCAUAUCAAUAAGCGGAGA